UACGUAGGGUGCGAGCGUUAAUCGGAAUUACUGGGCGUAAAGCGUGCGCAGGCGGUUCGUUAAGUCAGCUGUGAAAGCCCCGGGCUCAACCUGGGAACUGCAUUUGAAACUGGCGGGCUUGAGUGUGGCAGAGGGGGGUGGAAUUCCGCGUGUAGCAGUGAAAUGCGUAGAGAUGCGGAGGAACACCGAUGGCGAAGGCAGCCCCCUGGGCCAACACUGACGCUCAGGCACGAAAGCGUGGGGAGCAAACAGG
RNAcentral lists this ribosomal RNA (253 nucleotides) under uncultured bacterium. Its description in RNAcentral is "partial 16S ribosomal RNA". It matches the Rfam family "Bacterial small subunit ribosomal RNA", at positions 524 to 776 of the family's 1533-position model. The record is from RNAcentral.